AUACGUAGGGGGCGAGCGUUGUCCGGAAUGACUGGGCGUAAAGGGCGCGUAGGCGGCCGUUUAAGUUAGGAGUGAAAGUCCAGCAUUUAAUGUUGGAAUUGCUUUUAAUACUGGAUGGCUAGAGUGCGGAAGAGGUAAGUGGAAUUCCCAGUGUAGCGGUGAAAUGCGUAGAGAUUGGGAGGAACACCAGUGGCGAAGGCGACUUACUGGGCCGUAACUGACGCUGAGGCGCGAAAGCGUGGGGAGCGAACAGGAUUAGAUACCCUGGUAGUCCACGCGGUAAACGAUGAAUGCUAGGUGUAGGGGGUAUCGACCCCUUCUGUGCCGGAGCAAACGCAAUAAGCAUUCCGCCUGGGGAGUACGGCCGCAAGGUUGAAACUCAAAUGAAUUGACGGGG
RNAcentral lists this ribosomal RNA (397 nucleotides) under uncultured bacterium. RNAcentral's name for it is "partial 16S ribosomal RNA". It matches the Rfam family "Bacterial small subunit ribosomal RNA", at positions 523 to 918 of the family's 1533-position model. The record is from RNAcentral.